AUAAUCACUUGUUCUUUAAAUGAGGACUCGUAUCAACGGCACCACGAGGGUUUUACUGUCUCCUUUCCCUAAUCAGUGAAACUAAUCUCCCCGUGAAGAAGCGGGGAUAAACCUAUAAGACGAGAAGACCCCAUGGAGCUUUAAACCAAGCUACAAUCCAAUUUUUAUACGCCCACCCAUUAGACGGAUUCUGUAUGCCCAGUUUUAGGUUGGGGUGACCGCGGAGUAAAAGUUAACCUCCACGACAAACGAAACUUUUCUUAUCCGAGAACAACGCUUCUAAGAAUUAGUAUACUAAUGUUAAAUGAUCCGAUAAUCGAUCAACGGACCAAGUUACCCUGGGGAUAACAGCGCAAUCCAUUUCAAGAGCCCCUAUCGACAAAUGGGUUUACGACCUCGAUGUUGGAUCAGGAUAUCCCAGUGGUGCAGCAGCUACUAAAGGUUCGUUUGUUCAACGAUUAAAAUCCUACGUGAUCUGAGUUCAGACCGGAGUAAUCCAGG
Molecule: ribosomal RNA, 501 nt
Filed under: Gephyromantis spinifer
Lineage: Eukaryota; Metazoa; Chordata; Amphibia; Anura; Mantellidae
Description: partial 16S ribosomal RNA
Rfam family: Bacterial large subunit ribosomal RNA
Source: RNAcentral